This 256-nucleotide ribosomal RNA is filed under the name uncultured bacterium. RNAcentral's name for it is "partial 16S ribosomal RNA". It matches the Rfam family "Bacterial small subunit ribosomal RNA", at positions 524 to 776 of the family's 1533-position model. The record is from RNAcentral.
UACGUAGGGGGCAAGCGUUAUCCGGAAUCAUUGGGCGUAAAGCGCGUGUAGGCGGUUCCGUAAGUCCGCUCUGAAAGCCCCAGGGCUCAACCCUGGGAGGCGGGUGGAUACUACGGAACUGGAGUACGGAAGAGGAGAUUGGAAUUCCUGGUGUAGCGGUGAAAUGCGCAGAUAUCAGGAGGAACACCAACAGCGAAGGCAGAUCUCUGGGCCGUUACUGACGCUGAGGAGCGAAAAGCGUGGGGGAGCGAACAGG